This 1839-nucleotide long non-coding RNA is filed under the name Homo sapiens (human). Its description in RNAcentral is "HSALNT0078762". Lineage: Eukaryota; Metazoa; Chordata; Mammalia; Primates; Hominidae. The record is from RNAcentral.
UGUGAGUCGGGGCGUCGUAGCGCAGCUGCAGCAGCACCCGGGCGCGUCCGGGGCUGUGGGAGCCGAAAGUUGGGGUCUUGCUCUGUCGCUCAGGCUGGAGUGCAGUGGCAUGAUCAUGGGUCACUGCAGCCUUGAACUCCUGGGCUUAAGGGAUCUUCUCAUCUCAGUCUCCUAAAUAGCUGGGACUACAGGCUCAGGCCACCAUGCCUGCAUGAGGCCCUCACCAGAUACAGCCACCUGAUCUUGGACUUCACAGCCUCCAGAAAUAGAUGCCUUCUGCCAUGAUUAUAAGUUUCCUGAGGCCUCCCCAGCCAUGCAGAACUUCCAGUGAUUCAAGUUUGACACACCACACCACGGUGGAUGUGCCUUGUCAUGACACAUCUCAGCAGCACUAGAAGAUACAUCCAAAGUCCUGUGAGCAAGGUCUGUGGUAUCUGUUUAUUAUGGCAGCCCAGUAAGACUAAGACAGGCCAUCACAAGACGUGAACGUUUUGGACCUUCUCUUGGGCCCUAGUAAACAGAAAUCAGAAGGAAGAAAACUUUGCUAAUGCUCUGCCAAGCCUCACUUUUCUCUCAUGAUUAGAAGGUUUGAUGUUAUCCAGAAUUACUCAUGGAAGAUGGAAGAGCUGCAGCAUUACAAUGAAAGCCAUCUUACAACAGCCUGAGCUAUUUAUUAAACUAAUCCACGUUCUGAACAGUUAUUGCUACUGGAAACCAGUCCCGAUCCAGACCACAAAAGACGAUUCUUGGAUCUUGCACAAGAAAGAAAGGGAAGAUCUGGCAAGAGUUAGCGUGCAGUUCUACAUUGUGACAAUUCAUGAGAGCUAAGGACUGGCUGUCUCUUGGGACAAAUAGGCUUUCUUGAGUCUGCAUGAGGCCCUCACCAGAUACAGCCACCUGAUCUUGGACUUCACAGCCUCCAGAAAUAUGCCCUGGAAUACACUUGUGUCAGUGACAAAUGCUGCUUUGCUGUGCUACAUCGAGUACAAGCACAGAACACAAACUCUGCCUUCUUUUCUCAAGUCCAGUGAUUCAAGUUUGACACACCACACCACGGUGGAUGUGCCUUGUCAUGACACAUCUUCUCAGCAGCACUAGAAGAUACAUCCAAAGUCCUGUGAGCAAGGACACAGCGAGAAGAUGGCUGUCUACAAGCCAGGAAGAGAGUCCUCACCAGAACCAAACCCUGCUGGACUUUGAUCUUGGACUUCCCAGCCUCUAAAACUGUGAAGACAUAAAUUUCUGUUGUUAAACCCACACAGGUCUGUGGUAUCUGUUUAUUAUGGCAGCCCAGUAAGACUAAGACAGGCCAUCACAAGACAUGAAUGUUUUGGACCUUCUCUUGGGCCCUAGUAAACAGAAAUCAGGUACGCAAAAGGGGUAAGCAUAUAAUUUCCUUUAUUUUUAUUUUUAAUGUGUAAGCCUUAGGUUUUUAUUUAUUUAUUUGGUGAAGACAAUCACAUUGUGUACGUACAAUGUAAUUAUAUUGUUGACGAGAAGUUACUUAAAAUUUUUUAAAAAUUCUAAUCGAUUUCUAGAUGUCCAAAUGAGAAGAUAGCAUUUAUAUACCAUCAGAACAUAAAAUAAUUCAAAAAAAUAAAUUUAUAAAACAAUAUGUAUUAUAUUGAGAGAAAGAGAGGGAGAGAGUAUUGGAAGAAUAUAUGCAAAUACAAUGUGAUAAUGUGAUGUCUUUGUGAGAAUGCUAUAUGUCAUUUUCUUUGUUUAUAUGAAUUUUUACAAUUUUUACCUUUGAAAUAUAAAAAAGAGAGAAUAAAAGUCAUUGAAAAAAUCAAAAGUAACUAUUUUCAUAGGUGAGUAAGUAUACAUCUUUAACAGAAC